UCCCCUCUCACUGUCUUCUCAUAAUAUCAUCUAUGUCGGAACUCCCUAACAUUUCCCCACCGCAAGCCCCAAAAUCCGCAAACAAUCUCGCGUCGUCGCUACGAACUCGAGAUGUUCUCUCUGCUAGCACCUCUAAUUUCGUCCCUCGCCAAGCUACCCAGCACUACAAUAUUGAUUCCUUCGACCCUAGGUCAAAUACAUAACAAGGGCCCUGUUGAACUCUGGAUGCCCUGGAAGGGAAGAUCUUUGGAGGUGUCAAUCAACAAAAUUAUAUAAGGAGCUCGUGAGGAGUAAAGGGCGGGGGUGAAUAUCACCACCGAUCCGAAAAAAGUUCUCCUUUCACUCAUUUCAGCGGUUAGUUAACUCUUUCAUGCCUGCGGACAAUUACUGUCUAUGCAUAUUAUUUCUUAUUUUGGUGUUUGCAUGAUUUUCGUAAGGAAUUGGUGUUCACAUGUUAUUUUCAAUCCAUGGAGCUCGUGAGAUUUUCUUUGGGUAACACGCUUAACGUUGGCUUUCAGGCUAAAGGCCACAAAGAUUCGUAUAUAAAAUAGAGAUAGUGAUACUCUUCUCCUUCUUCUUCUUUUUACUCCCGCUCCUCCUCUCCCUCUUCGAAAUCAGUUCAUAGAGCGAAAAGUGUUUCGUACAUGGGCCCUAGGCAGCCCUUUUUUUCAUUGAACGUAUUUUUUACACCUCAAAGAAUAAUGAAAAAAAAAUAUACAUAGAGUAUACACAUAUGAAACUUCAUCAACAUAUAUUUUCUUAUGUGGUAUACAAAAAGAAGACAAAUACAUAUAUUAAAAAUUGUUGCAGUGGUGGUGGUGGUGGUGUGGCAUUUUUCACAGAAAUUGUAUCUUAUUAUGUAGUUUGAAAAUAAUUGUAUUAUUCGAUGAAUUCUUGCAGAUAUGUAGUUAACAUGUAUACAAAUUUGUAAAGAAGUUAAACUUUCUUGGAACUUUUAAACAAUAUUUCCAAAUUUUAUUCAAAUUCCAAGCUCCCUACAGCCUGUCCUCCAAAAUGUUGCUCCGCUCUCAUUCAGAGAAAUGCCCUUUUUUUGGCCAUUCAAAGGGUGCCUUUUUUGGGGGAAAUUCAAAAGUUGUCUGGUAUGGAUAACACAUGUUUUGUUCAUAUGCCCCCCCCCCCGGUACGUCUUUACAAUGCACGGUGCUCUAGUUGCACUGCAAGUAUCCUCCACUCGUAUCAUGCCCAUAACUAUGCUGCAUCAGGUCCAACCCAUAUAGCCAAGCCAUCACAAAAAUACCGGCUUAACAUUCUAUUUAUUCCUCCUUGAAAAAAACAUUCCAUUUAUUACUCCAGUUUUGAUUGCGUAACACGCACAUCCACGUGCGAGAACAUGGAUAUCGGACGGUGCGGACCAGGCGUAGGGAUUGGGUGCGUUUUGGUCGUAUCUCCCUCGGUAUGCAUUUCGGUUGUAUCGCCACCGGUAUGCGUUUCGGCCAAUCUCCCCCUUUUCAACCACCAGGGCAUCAGGAUGAGGGCGUGCAUUGCGAUUGUAUCUCUCCCUUUCCAACCAUCGGGCAUCGAGAUCAGGGGGUGCAUUUUAGAUGUAUGUCACGCAUCCACAAAGAAGAACACAUAAUAUAUGAUGCAGACGGGGGCACUGGAUGCAUUUCUGUCAUAUCUCCCCAUUUCUAACCACCGGGGCAUCGAGAUCGGCGGGUGCGUUUCGGCUAUAUCUCGCGCAUCCACAUACAAGAAUGUGGAUCAGAUGAUGUGGACCAGGGCACUGGGACCAGUGGGUGCAUUUCGGUCGCAUCUCCCCUUUCCCACCACCGGGGCGUAGGGAUCAAGGGGUGUGUUUCGGCUGUAUCUCCCAUUUCCAACCACCGGGGCAUAGGGAUCAAGGGGUGCAUUUCUGCUGUAUCUCCUUCUUUCCAACCACUAGGACAUAUGAUCAAGGGGUGCGUUUCGGCUGUAUCUCCCCCUUUCCAGCCAUGGGGACAUAUGAUCAAGGGGUGCGUUUCGGCUGCAUCUCCCCCUUUCCAACCACCGGGGCAUAGGAUCAAGGGGUGUUUUUCGGCUGUAUCCCUCAACCACCGGGGCAUAGCGUAGCGAUCAAGGGGUGCGUUUCGGCUAUAUCUCCCCCUUUCCAACCACCGGGGCAUAGGGAUUAGGAGGUGUGUUUCGGAUGUAUCCCCCAACACCGAGGCAUAGCAUAAAGAUCAAGGGGUGCAUUUCGGCGGUAUCUCCCACUUCCAACCACCAUGGCAUUAGAUGAGUACUGGCCAAAUUUACUAUUACGUACACUCCAUCAUACAUUAGCCCGUUUCAUGUCAUCACUUUCUGACCUUGGUCACUAGAGGCCAGGCCCGGCUGCCUGUAUGGUAGUGCUUCCAAAAUAACGUUGCAGCCCAUGUGCACCAUCCAAAACGUGGCCUUGCAUGAGGCUUGGCUGCUCUACACUUGUACAAUUUUGUAUAUCUCUCCAUCUUAUCCUGCAUUGCUGAUUUGUAUCAUGAAACUGAUGCGUCCUAGGUAGAGUAUAUCCAUCCAUCUCUUGCAUCGCACUGCUGAUGGAUAUAUACGAUUCCCGCAAAAAAGAAAAUUACGGUGGUUGUUUCCCAGCUAUAGUAUACUCUGCGUGUUGUGAAUAGAAACCUCCAGGUUAACUCUGCAGCCGUAUGCCCCCGUCCAAGACGUGACCUUGCCUGAGGCUUGGCCGAUGUACACUUGUACCCUUCGUAUCUCUCCAUCUCUAUCUGGAGAAACUGAUGCGUUGUACUCCUUCAAUUCCUAAAUAUAAGUUUUUUCUUACAGAUUCUAAUAUAGACUACAUACGAAGCAAAGUGAGUGAAUCUACCGGAAAAUGCCAUCGGAGGCCGAGCUCCAGUGAGCUCGUUUUCAUUUUUUAUUUUUCUGGAGCAUGAAAAAUUCCAAAUUUAUUUUUUGAACACACAUGCACAUGUAUACUAUGUAUAUGCAAAAUUUCACAGUAUUACACGUUUACAUGUGGCCUACAGGAAAAAGACAAAUACACAUUUUUAAUGGGCCUUUUAUUUUUGUUAUUGGGCCAGAAAUUUGUUAUUUUUGUACAGCCUACAAAUCACAACAUUUUUCGACGAAAUUUAACACGUUCUUGCGGAAUACAUAUAAGUUUUCAUGAUAUUUUUUUCAGAUUUUUCUGGAACUUUUAAAUACGCUUUUUGAUUUUUUCAAAUAUCGAGCUCACUGAAGCUCGGCCUCCAAAAAUCCGCACUCGUGAAUCUACACCCUAAAUACGUCUAAAUACAUUCAUAUGUAAUUCGUAUUGAAAUCUCUAAAAGAUACUAUAUUAUAUUUAGAAACAAAGGGAGUAGCUAGCAGGUGACAACCGUGUAGAUAGAUGACACAAAAUAUGUGAUGGAGGGGAAGGCGCGCGUCGCUGCACCGGGAACUAAUGCGUUGUGUGUAUCCUACUCAUGCAAAGACUGUUUGUGCUCUCGUUGCACUCGUAGCCCCUUGAUGCUACUCCCUCCGUCCGAAAAUACUUGUCAUCAAAAUGAAUAAAAGAGAAUGUAACUAGACGUAUUUUAUUUUUAGAUACAUCCCUUUUUGUCCAUUUUGAUGACAAGUAUUUUUGGACGUAAAAAGUACAUUAUUAGUCAAAUAGAAAACGCCUUUUGCAGAAAAAUAAGUCAGUUGCUGCAGACGCCAAAGCACUAACAAAAGCAGAUAAAAAUUCAUGCCAAAUCAUACCACUAAAUCACAACCAUUGCCGCCCCCACCAGACCAAACGAAACCCACGCGCACGGUGGCCAAGGGCUCCAAAUUAGGCGAGGCAUGGCUGUCGAAAUAGCGAUCGCCGAAGGCCAGACGCACAUACAGGUCGAAAGCGUACGGCCAAAUCCUGCGUCAGCACUGCCUGCCGCUUUCUGGCAUGAUCAUUUCGGUGAUGAGUGACAAGGCAGCUUUCGGGAAAGCUACUUUGCACACACAGCAGCAAGAAACACAAGGCACACAAACAGCUUGCGCAAUGCGAUUUCCAGCGAGCAGAAGACGCGUGCUCAAAUUGAUUUCCGUACCUGCACAAAACUUUUCUUCUUCUGAAUUUUGUUUCUUCUGCAAAGUUUUUCAGAUGAUCAGAAGUUCAGAACAAAGAGAAGGGGGUCCCAGCUAGCGUGCAGUGUAUCGGAACAGUCAAUUAAUAGAUAAAAUCAAUAGUAAUAAGCUUGCUUCAUCAACACCAUAAGGAAGAAGAAAAUAUAUAGACUUGCCUGAACUGUAUCGGUGAAGAUCCAUGGAUAAUGGACUUGAUUUUUUAAGCAUUUCCUGAGAUUUUGAUAUCUGAGGUAGUUGGGCCAAUAUCGCCGGCUGGUGGUACAGCCAGCCGUACGGCUGAGUUGGAUCUCGGAUCGGCCUAGGGCUCCUAACCUUCUUAUCCUCUUAUGUUGCCGCUUAUCCCUUUCCCCGUUGGUGUUGAACCGCAAAUCACCUUUCCCGUCCCAAAAAAGAAAGGCCUGCCCUAUGGUGAUGCCGGGGACGAUGCAAGUCUAGCACGAUACACAGUAGGCUCUUCACUUCCAUCUCUCUGGUUCUUCCCAGAAAAGCAACCUCCUCAUCCACAUUUCUGGAUACCUUCCCAUAGCCUUUUCCAUGGCCUACUUACUAUACAUGCUCUUGCCACCUAGCUCGAAGCCCAUUGGUCAGGCAUGCCACAAGAAGGAAGUUAGGCCAGUGGCUGCACUGCACUUCCUGUUGGAAUUUGCUAGUGGGCUUUUGGCUCAAAGCCCAACUAAAAUUCUGAAUUUUUUUUGGCCCAUUCAUGCACACAUGUGAGUGGAGUGAGUGAGGCUAAAGUUUAGUUUCACCUCAUAAGUUGAAAGAGAGUUGCACCUCUUUAUAAGGUGAGCUCUCCUACCACUUGUAUGAGCAUGAGAAGAGGAGACCUACACGCGCGCUCCUCCGCCUCGCCUCAUCACGACGCGAUUGCGCCGCGGGUUGCGGGAUUGAGCCGAGCCAAGGACAGAGCUAUGCACGUUGUCUAUAUUUUUGCUGCUCGGGAAAAAUUAAUGAGUCAUAAAUUAAUAACGGAAAUGUUAACGCCCACACGUGUGGCAUGGCGUCAACUCGACCACACGCGCUUAUCACCGUCCACUGCAUUUCGCACGAAUCUUGACACGAUGCUGGGAUUCCGGACUGCCACGUAGGACUAGCGAAGUGUGUGGCGUGUAUGCCACUUCGCCCGCACGCCGUUUUGCCCCGACGACGACGGUUUUCAUAGUCAGCGCGUGCGGUGGAACUGCCAUCUCGCCCGCACACUAUCUCGAACGCAGUGGUUGCCAUAUUGCACGACUCGCCACUCACCCCUCCCCGCACUGGUGAUCUCUCGCUCCCUCCCCAUUUACUCCCCAACCCACCCAUUCUGCAGCGGUUCCAAUUGAUUCGGGAGGAGUCGAGAGGAGAAGGCGGCGGCGGUGGCGGAAUAGUCGACGGCAUUCGCGGCGGUUGUUGGGAUUCGCCGGCCGGGGACGUCGUCGCCGGAGCAGCUGCAGGCCGAAGGUAAGCCUUCCGCCAUGGUCACACCCAUUCCCCCGCGAUUCAUAUCCCCUUUAUGUGCUUGCUCGAUUUCCCAUCGGGAUUUCUCGAGAUCCCGGCGUUUUUCGCGGUGCGCAUGUGUUGCCGCCGGCGAGGAGUCGGUUGUUUUGCUCACCCCUCCCCGCACGGUAGCUUGUUAUGGUCUCGUCGCCGUCUCUCUCGCCGUCAAGCCGGCGAGACUCGACGAUUCCCCAACCGCAUGUGCUCUCGCAACUGCUUUUUGGGAUGGCGAUGUUGAUGCUGUUUAGUUCAUUAUGUUGCUCCUGAAAUGCUAUUGCCGUCAGUGUCGAGGCGUUUGUGUUGAUGAAAUUGAUGUUAUGCUAGUUGUGGACGAACCCUAGAUCUAUUUCAGGCGCAUUCCAGAGUUUUGAGAAUGAUUGCCAUGACAAUUUGAAACAACUGCCAUCACUGAUGGCAACUGAUUUCUGAAAUUACUGUGUCAGUUGCCUUGUCAGUGGUGCAUUUUAGGCGCAUGUCAGAUUGUAUGAGAAUGAAAGUCAAGUCAAUUCCAAUAUCUACCACCUUUGAUGGCAACUAAUUUUUGAAACAACUGUUUCAGUUGCCAUGUAAUUGGUACGACAAUGUUACUGUUUGGUUUUGUUUGAAUCUACUUUUUAGGUGCAUUUCAAAUUGUUUGAGAAUGAUUGUCAUGGCAAUUUCAACAACUACCACCACUGAUGGCAACUGAUUUUUGAAUCAACUGAGUUAGUUGCCAUGUAGUGGUGCAUCUUAGGCACAUUUUCAGAGUGUUUGAGAAUGAAAGUCAUGCGAAUUUCAUCAACUGCCACAUCUGAUGGCAAUUAAUUUCUGAAACAAAUGUGUCAGUUGCCAUGUCGGUGGUACAGUAAUGUUACUGUUUGGUUUUUGUUGGAUACCGUUUUUAUGUGCAUUUCAAAUUGUUUGAGAGUGAUUGUCAUGGCAAUUUUAACAACUGCCACCACUGAUGGCAACUGAUUGUUGAAUCAAUUGAGUCAGUUGCCAUGUCAGUGGUGCAUCUUAGGCACAUUUUCAGAGUGUUUGAGAAUGAAAGUCAUGUGAAUUUCAUCAACUACCACAUCUGAUGGCAAUUAAUUUCUGAAACAAAUGUGUUAGUUGCCAUGUCAGUGGUACAGUAAUGUUACUGUUUGGUUUUUGUUGGAUGCCGUUUUAGGUGCAUUUCAAAGUGUUUGAGGAUGAUUGUCAUGGCAAUUUUAACAAUUGCCACCACUGAUGGCAACUGAUUUAUGAAACAACUGUGUCAGUUGCCAUGUCAGAUGGAGUGCCUUUUAUCUGCCACAACUAGUUGUUUUGUUAACAUGGAAACAUGAAUCUAGCAUAUGUCUGCCCCUAUUUUUGAAGUACCCUUUAGUUAACUGCCACCACUGAUGGCAACAUGAAUCUAGCUGCAUUGCAGUUUGACACUUGCAGACGACAACUGAAUCAUUUAAGAAGCAGAGACAUGUGUUGUUGCCAUGUAUCUGCAUUUUUCUGCUCUCCCACUUUGGCUACAUUUCUGUCUUUUUAAUACGUGUUGCUCCAUUUGAUGUGUGUUUUUUGUUGCUACUGUAGCACAAUGGCUCGCGGCGAC
RNAcentral lists this long non-coding RNA (7099 nucleotides) under Triticum aestivum (bread wheat). RNAcentral describes it as "long non-coding RNA (TAES_LNC022204)". The stretch from base 3460 to 3594 matches the Rfam family "MIR1120/MIR1122 microRNA precursor family". Lineage: Eukaryota; Viridiplantae; Streptophyta; Magnoliopsida; Poales; Poaceae. The record is from RNAcentral.